RNAcentral lists this ribosomal RNA (472 nucleotides) under uncultured bacterium. RNAcentral describes it as "partial 16S ribosomal RNA". It matches the Rfam family "Bacterial small subunit ribosomal RNA", at positions 28 to 507 of the family's 1533-position model. The record is from RNAcentral.
GACGAACGCUGGCGGCGUGCUUAACACAUGCAAGUCGAACGCUGAAGCUUGGUGCUUGCACUGGGUGGAUGAGUGGCGAACGGGUGAGUAAUACGUGAGUAACCUGCCCUUGACUCUGGGAUAAGCCUGGGAAACUGGGUCUAAUACUGGAUACGACAUGUCACCGCAUGGUGGUGUGUGGAGAGGGUUUUACUGGUUUUGGAUGGGCUCGCGGCCUAUCAGCUUGUUGGUGGGGUAAUGGCUCACCAAGGCGACGACGGGUAGCCGGCCUGAGAGGGUGACCGGCCACACUGGGACUGAGACACGGCCCAGACUCCUACGGGAGGCAGCAGUGGGGAAUAUUGCACAAUGGGCGGAAGCCUGAUGCAGCGACGCCGCGUGAGGGAUGACGGCCUUCGGGUUGUAAACCUCUUUCAGCACGGAAGAAGCGAAAGUGACGGUACGGGCAGAAGAAGCGCCGGCUAACUACGUG